GAUUAUAAUCGCAAAUAACUCCGCGAUACCCCCACCCGCCUCCCCUGCGCCCACGGACGGUCCCCCCACCACGUCCACCCCGCUCCGCUCGCCACCACCGCGUUCGCCGCUGCCGCACAUCAACGCGUCGAUGCCACCCGGGCACCCGGCCGAGAUAGCCUCCUUCCUCCCCCGAACCGCCACGUCCGCUUCCAAAGCCGUCGCCGUCUCCGCCUCCUCCCUGGUGCCCGCGCCCGCAAGAUCCCGCCGUUGUCGUCUCCGUCUCCUCCCCCUGCCCACAACUCGCAGGAUCCCACCGUCACCGUCUUUCUGGGAUUCAAUUCUGCUCUCAAUUUCUUAAUAUGUUCGGGCAUGUUUUGUUUCACCUGAUGCCUGUGCCUAGUUGAGCGAGUGCAUGGACCUAGACAUCACAGUGGAAUUCUGGUCCCUUCAGGCGCUGCGCAGUUUCUUCUCCUCCUACCAGACAUCUAGCACUGGACCUAAACUAGACGAGCACUUCGUCAUGAGCAACAACCACGCCGCGCGCGCACAAUAUUUUUUCCAGCAAAUGGAAGUAAAUUUUUUGUGUUGAUUCAGUCACCCAUUUGUUGUGUUUUCUCCAAAUACUCUAAGUUGGACUGAUUGAUUUCAGAUCUGUUUGUUUAAAGUUCAUCUAUUCCAGCUUUAUAACCUAGUUUGUAUAAACUCAUCUGGUCAACAAAAAGACCAAGUUAUAAUCCAGUCGCAAGCACCUACGCCCGCCCACCCGCAACGCUCAAUAUUCCUAUGCCUGCAGGCUGCAAAUGAAGAACGAUUACGUGAAGAGUUUGUGAGGGAAAGCAGAAAGCUUCCUCCAAAGCAGCAAUCACAAACAUGUGAUUCAAAUGUUAUUACUCCAAGGACUGAAUUUAUGGCUGUUUUAUCAGUUGCUUUGGAGUGUUACAUCCAUCUUAGAUUGAAUUAUGAUCAUGAAUGGAAACAAAACAAAGUUAUUUUAUCCGAUGCCAAUGUUCCUGGUGAACGGGAUCUGUCUGGUUUUAACCCAAAUCCAUUGCCUGUAUGGCCUGGACGUAUAUCUGAUCAUGCUAGCUUUGCAGACACAUGAAGUACGCUUCUCAAUACUGAGAGAGGUAUUUUAUACACCUGGACAACAGGAUAAAUGUUUCUUAUGUAUUUAGGUGGGACAUCUAGCAGCAAAAUGUGAAGGAAAGGUGAAAAUGAAAGCUGGGGAGUUUUGAUGAGAAGGCUGAUGCUAUUGUUCCCAAGAAGCCAUAUCAGGUUAUUUGUCUAUUGUACAACAUGUGGUAGUGUGUGUGUGUGUUGGGGGGGUUCGCGCCCUCACUCACGAUCAAUGACCCGACUCUUUCCCUCUCUUCCCCUCCUCUGCCACGAGCCCUAACCCACUUGAAGCACAACAUGAUCCAUGUGAGUUGUGCUUUGGCCUGCAUUAGGGAUCAGCAACUUCGCACGCGACGAAAUGAACCGCCACGACUGCGUUGGGAUCAACUUCGCACGCGGCGAUAUUAUUUCAGUGUCGUGUUUUUUACUUCACAUGAAAAUCUUAUUUUGUAGUAUAUAAAAUGUUAGGUUGUAGUAUAAAAAAUUAUACAGCAACAAACAAUCACAUAUCUAGUAAUUUAGUUGUCAUGUAUAGUAAAUUGUAAUUUUCAGCAGAUUACAGUUUUAAAUCAAUAAUAGAUACUAGGAAUGUUUAGUAGCAGAGAUUAUUAUUCAGGCAGUUUGCUGUCAUAGUUCCAUGUAGCUCAAUCUCAAAUUGUAGAGGUGAAACAUACAGCAGGGUUGCCUUGUAUCUAUAGAAAUGAACUUGCAGCAAUUAUGUAAGCAACGUAUCCCAAUGUACCCGCACGCAUAUCAGAAUGAAAGCCCAAUGUACCGUGGAAUGGCAGCAAAGAAAAAAAAUCCAGCAAUGGACCUUGUUGAGGAACAGAAA
This is a long non-coding RNA of Zea mays, 1930 nucleotides long. RefSeq lists it as uncharacterized. NCBI's taxonomy places the organism in Eukaryota, Viridiplantae, Streptophyta, Magnoliopsida, Poales, Poaceae. The record is from RefSeq and is a predicted model, not a curated record. The transcript is spliced from 4 exons.